CUGAAAUUCUAGAUAAACUAUUCCCUG
Molecule: transfer RNA, 27 nt
Filed under: Hippopotamus amphibius (hippopotamus)
Lineage: Eukaryota; Metazoa; Chordata; Mammalia; Artiodactyla; Hippopotamidae
Also listed under: 1 other name
Description: partial tRNA-Pro
Source: RNAcentral